This 4008-nucleotide long non-coding RNA is filed under the name Sarcophilus harrisii (Tasmanian devil). RNAcentral describes it as "lncRNA (ENSSHAG00000023525.1)". The record is from RNAcentral. Lineage: Eukaryota; Metazoa; Chordata; Mammalia; Dasyuromorphia; Dasyuridae.
CCCUCUGCCCGGUCCCUCUGUCCCUCUCCGUUCUCUCCCCGAUUCAUCCCCUAAAAAGGCUCCUUUUGGAAGAAAGGUGAAGGAUGGCCCUGUUUCGGAAGUAUAAGGACUGAGAUCUGAUGGGACACUAGAUACCUUGGCCAAAGGAUAUGGACUCAGCUUUGCUCUGGGAUCAUGGCAGCAGAGAUAUGGACUCAGCUUUGCUCUGGGAUCAUGGCAGCAGAAUCUUUUUGAGACUUGCUUUGAACAACCAGGACCUGAUGUCCUCUUGGAGACAGCCAGUAUCCUGGAUCAUCACCUUGACCUUUGCCUUGCCACUGGACUUCAAUGAUCCCUGAGGAGAGAGUGAAGCUGAUGAUUUUGUACCUCUCUGCCCCACUCCAAUGAAGCCACAGCUCAAGACAUUACCCUAGUGACUGUCCUCUUCCAGAACGAAGGAUGAGCAACAAUUGUUUUUUAAGGUCUUUUCUGACUGAAACAUUCUAUGUGCUAAGGCUUUUCAUACUCUAAUAUUCCAUGUGCUAUUACUUUUUCAAAUUCUUACAUUCCAAGUUGUUUAUAUAUCUCAAUCUUUUUGGCUUUAACAUUCUAUAUUCUAAGGACACUCAUCCCUCUGGCAUUCUGUUUUAAGGUCCUUUUCAACUCAGAUAUUCUCUUUUUUGCUCUGUUAUUUUGGGUUCUAUUUUCUAAAGUUCCUUCCAGUUCUGACAUUUUUUCUUCUCUGCUCUAUGGUACUUUCAGAUUCUUAUACCAUAGAAUAUCAAAAUUGGAAGGGACUUCAUAACGGAAGAAGAAUUGAUAUCUGAACACAAUGACCAGUGGCCAUCCAGUCUUUGUUUGGACACUUCCUACGAAAGGAGACCCACCAACAACUGAAAGUAGCUUGUUCCAUUUUUAGAAAACUUUUAAUUCUUAGGGAAGAUUUCUUUCCAUCAAAUCUCACUUUUUCUCCUUUCAAAAUCUAUUAUUGCCAGUUCUGCUCUCUCUGACCAAACAGAAUGAUUUAAUCCUUCUUCCAGAUGACAGUCCUUCAAAUACUUGAAGAUAGAUAUCAUAAUCUUUUCCCUUCUUCCUCCCACUCCUGCCAGCAUUCUUAAUUAUGCUAUGGAAUUCCUCAUAUGACAUCAACUUGAGGCCCUUCACCAUGCUGGUUGCCAGGCUUAUUAAAAUAUGGUGAACACAAUAUCCCGAUGUGGUCUGACCAGGGCAAAGGACAGAGGAAUAAUCAUUUCCUUAUUUCUGGAAAUUCAUCCUUUUUUUCCUGCAAGCCAAAACUCUAUUAUGGGUAUAUCACACUGUUGAUUUAUGUCUGUUGUGGGAUAAAAUCUCUUUUUCAAAUCUAGUUAUGUUUCCUUUCCUCCAUCUUGUACUUGUUCAACUGAUUUCUUGUACUCCAGUGUAAGAUUUUACAUUUAUCUCUAUUAAAGUUCAUUUUAUUAGAUUAAGCCUUUUAGAUCCUGACUCACUGACUCAGUUUUUAGCUUAUCCUUCCUAGUCUGAGGUCAGUUGCAAAUUUGAAAAGGACAUCAUCUCUUCGUUCAUACAAAUUGCUGUCAAAAAUGCAUAAAGUCUAAUAUAGAUCCCCAGGGCUCCUUUAUCCUUCCAUUUCAGUGACAUGUAAACAGUAAGAACUAGUUCCUGAUUCUGCCCACUCAACCAGUUCCUACUCCAUCCAACUAUAUCAACCGGCUCACAUCCCUUCAUCAUCACCAGGAGAAUAGCAUAUGAUAUUUGAUCAAACUUUUUGCUAAAAUGUAGGUCAACAAUAUCUACAGCACUUCUUUUCUCAACUAGUUUAGCAACUGUCAAAAAUUAGAAUUAGUCUAGAAUGAUCUAUUCUGGAAGUGAUGUGACUACUGUUUCCUUUUAUGCAUCCUUACGAACCCAUUCUUUAAUAAUAUAAUCGAGAACUUUCAUAAGAAUGUAAGUCAAAUUUCCUUGUCUAUUGGCUGCAAAAUUUCAUUUUCUUCCCUUUUAUAAAAGUUAAGACAUUGAUAAAAUCUUUAUUUUUUAAAUAUAGGGAAAACGGAGCCAAAUUUAUAAGGAUACAAGUCAUUCCUGAAUUGAUAAAUGGUCAAAGUAUGUAAAGGGGCAAUUUUCAGUUGCAGAAAUUAAAGCUAUCUAUAGUCAUAUGAAAAAAUGCUCUAAAUCACUAUUGAUUAGAAAAAUGCAAAUCAAAACAACUUUGAGGUAUCACCUCAUACCUAUCAGGUUGGCUAAUAUGACAGAAAAAUAAAAUGAUAAAUGUUGGAGAAGAUGUAGGAAAAUUGGAAUAGUAAUGCAUUGUUGGUGGAGUUGUGAACUGAUUCAACCAUUCUGGAGAACAAUUUAGAAUUAUUCCCAAAGGGCAUGAUAAACCAUGCAUACCUUUUGAUCCAGCGAUCAAAGAGAUCACAAAAAAGGGAAAAGGACCCACCUGUACAAAAAUAUUUACAGCAACUCUUUUUGUUAUGGCAAAUAAUUGGAAAUUGAGGAGAUGCCCAUCAACUGGGGAAUGGCUAAAAAAGUUGUGACACAUGAAUGUAAAGAAUACUAUUGUGUUGUAAGAAAUGAUGAGCAGGCUGAUUUUAGAAAAACCUGGAAAGACUUGCAUGAACUGAUGCUGAGUGAAGUGAGCAGAACUGGGAGAACAUUGUACCCCCAAAAACAGCAACAUUGUGUGAUGAGCAACUAUGAUGGACUUAGCUCUUCUCAGCAAUACAAUGAUCCAAGAUAAUUCUCAAGGCAUCUGUGAUGGAAAUCACUGUCCAUAUCCAGAGAAAAGACUAGAAUUUGACUGCAGAUCAAAGUGUACUAUUUUCACUUCUUGUUUUGUUUUUGUUUUUUUUUUUUCUUUCUCGUGGUUUUCCCCUUUUGUUCUGAUUCUUCUUUCACAACAUGACUAAUGUGGAAAUAUGUUUAACAUGAUUGUACAUGUAUAGCCUAUAUCAGAUUGCUCGCUGUCUUAGGGAGAGGAGAGAAGAGGGAGGGAAAGAAAAAAAUUUGAAACUCAAAAUCUUAUGAAAAUGAAUAUUAAAAACUAUCUUUACAUGUAAUUGGAAAAAUAAAAUACUAUUAAAUGGGGGGGAGGAAAAUUAAGAUACUGACCUUCAGUACUGUACUCUGCUUUUCACUGGUACCUCUCCCUUUCACUAUAACUUUCCACACAUCACAUCACUGACAGUGGUUUAGCAAUUAUAUCCUUAACUUUUUUCAGUACUCUAAGAACAGAUGACUUGAUCUGUGCCAUGCGACUUGAAAUCAUCAGUGCGGGGUAGGUGUUCUCUUGAUACAGCCUUACUUAUCAUAAGCAUCAGCUCCCUAUUAACCAUUUUAGUUUUAUUCUCUCCAGUCCAAAAGCCAUUUUUGGCUCAGACAAAAAUGGAAGCAAUAUAAGAAUUAAGCAGUUGUGUUCUUCUCCCUGUUUUAAGUCAUCGUGGUACCACUUAUCUCAGGAAGCUGUCCUUUCCUUUCUUUGAUCUUCAUCUUUCCCUCAACAUAGCCAAGCCCACCCCCAAACUACCAGCUCUCUCAUUGUUGUCUUUAGCUUUCCUCCCCACUCUUAUCUCAUUCUGAGCUUUAGCACUCUCAACACCCUCCUUACAAUCCCAAGGCAUACUUUGGCCUUCAGAACUCUGUCUUUAUUCCUAACUUCUGUAAAUCUCUUUUAAAUAGCUAACUACUUGCAGGGAUUUUAUUUGCUUGACUCUACAUAUUUUUUUAUAAAAGUUUGGGAUUUCUUUCUUUUUUUCGAUGGGGGAAGUGGGAGAGAGAAAAAAGUUACAUUUUUGUUAACUAAAAAAAAUUAAGUUAAAAAAUUAGGUAGAUAAGUUCUCGAUGUAUCUACAUUUUAUAUUCCCAAUUCUGACCUUCCUUUCACACACUUGGUUUCCCCCUCUAUUAAUUAGGAAACUCAAGGCUGAGAAUUUGGAGGUUUAAGGGAAUGACUUGUUGAGUGAAUCAACUUCCUUUCUGUAGGUUCGAUGGUAAUUUCCAGUAAAUAAAAUCCUGAGCAAUGGUUUCUACUUG